ACCCCCUCACGCAAACCCUAACUUGGAUCCCCUCCUCUCCCCCGAUCCACUCCUGUCAGACACCUCUCCCCUCUCCCCCGAUCCACUCCCGUUGCCGCCGUCGCCCCAUGCCAGGCGGCGGAACGAAGAGACAGGCCCCGCCGUGGCUGGCUUGCUCGCCGGCGCGCGCGUGCGUGCUUCGAUGCACGGCGCUCCAUCCUGCCGAUUCCCCAUCGUCUCCCACUGCCGCCAACCACAUCUUCGCCUUUGUUCUCCCAUAGCACGCCGCCGAGCUUCCCGCUCCCCUCCUCGCAGCUCCACAACUGCCAGAUCUGCCGCUCUCCGACCCCUACGUCCUCGAGGUCGACUAGAUCCGCCCCUCCCGCUAUCUGAAGCUCGCCGCGACCCCUUGCUCGUGGCUAGGGUUUCGGCUGCGGUGCUGCGUCCAUCGACGGUGCGUCUCAGGCGGCACCUCUCCGUCGCCCACCCCGGGCUCCGCGCAAGUUCAUCCGCUCCGGUACCUCGAGGAGUUCGCGCGGCGGUUUGACCUCCUCGGGCUGGUCCAGUUUGGGGCGGAGGUGGUGAGCGUCCUCCGUGGCAGGGACGACGACGCUGGCUGGAGGGUGAGGCUCCCCUGUGCUUGGCACUUUGCCUAGCCGUGCGUGGCCGCCAUCACUGGCAAUUACUCGGUCCGAUCUAUCCCCCACUCGAGCUCCUUUGCUCCACGCCAGGAUUCGACCUAGCUUUUGCAAUCCUGCUAAACAAUUUCAACAUGAGAAACAUGCCAAGAAACCACCAAACGUGAAAGGAACUGACGGGGGAGUGCUGCUGCCGGAGGAAGGCCAUCAGGAGGUGGCCGAUGUGGCGCAGUGGGCAGACCACCCCCUUUUUGUUAUCCUGUAACAACCAGAGCCACACAAAGGUCUGGGCAUUGCUGCUUGCUUUAGAGGACAUGCUCAUGCUGAAUUUAGUUUUUUUCCUUCUCAUUUCAAGUGCUUAUUCCAGAUGUGCUCUGCUCAAUCAUCACAUUUCUUGAUGCCAGAUACUAGUAGCUGUUGGCACAUUAUUCAGUUGCUAGUUGUCUGUCCCACUGGAUGCUGUGCGUCUUUUAGCAGCCCAGUACUCAUUUGUAGGAAGGGUGGCAUCACUUUGUUGGUUGUUCUUGAAGGUCAGUAAGACCAUGUAUUGAUUGAUCUUGUAUGCUGCCAUGGAUACUUUGCAAGUGGUGAUUUUCCAAGGUUGUUGUUACCAUGGAGGUCAACGGGCGUCACAAGCCUACAAGAGAGUAUGUCGACAGAGGGUGCAAUGGUGUAAAACCACACAAUAAUUUUGGCAAAGUUGAUCCCUGGACGGCGUGGGCGUACAGACCGCGGACCAUCUCGUUGUUGCUGAUGGGUAUCUGCUUUUUAAUGAGGUGUGUUUGCCGAUGACCAAAAUGUGCUGAUUGUGGCGUCCGCGUGGAUGCUUUACGGUUUGAUCCACGCCCGGUACAUCUUAACCACCAAGGGCUUGUCUCAGAUCUGUAGAAGUUGCCGCCACUGCUGCUGCUGCAGGUGGAACAGGAAGAAGCCAUCAUGGCUGCUGCACAUCUGAAGUGGUAUUAUGUGUUCUGGAAGAUGGAAGAGGGAUAAAACUUAUUUUUGUUGAACUAAUUUUUUUGUAUUCUAUUUUGUUUUAUGUAGCAUUUGAUAGUUUUGUAUAGGAACAAGUGAUAAUAUUUUGUAGGGCUUUAUGGCCUGUGAUGUAAACAUAUUUAGUGCUGAAAUAUGAAAUUAUUUGCAAAAUUUGUCG
Triticum aestivum (bread wheat) is the source of this 1770-nucleotide long non-coding RNA. RefSeq lists it as uncharacterized. The record is from RefSeq and is a predicted model, not a curated record. The transcript is spliced from 4 exons. NCBI's taxonomy places the organism in Eukaryota, Viridiplantae, Streptophyta, Magnoliopsida, Poales, Poaceae.